Long non-coding RNA from Quercus robur (English oak), 617 nucleotides. RefSeq lists it as uncharacterized. Lineage: Eukaryota; Viridiplantae; Streptophyta; Magnoliopsida; Fagales; Fagaceae. The transcript has 2 exons. The record is from RefSeq and is a predicted model, not a curated record.
UUUUUGAAAACCUCACUUUUUCAAAAAACCCAGUUUCAAAUAGUUAAACCAAACUCACCCUAAAGUUUACAAUUUUAAUUUGCCUGAGUUUGCUGGAAGACAUUAUUGGAUAGAUGGUUACUUGCUAUAGGAAUCGACUUACAGCUCAACCUCUUCAACCUCACACUACUCUUCAAAUGGUUGUUUUGUCAAAGGGUCCUUGAACUCAACAACUAAUGAAUGCAAUCUUGAUAUGCAUAAUCGAGCCCAAAUCUUUUGUCUUGUAUAUUGUGCUUCAUUCCAUACUCCACUAAUAGGAACACCACACCACUUCUUUCAUUUUAUUUUUUCCAUAUGAAACUAACUAGAUGUUGCUUAAUGUUAAACAUUCAUGCUUCCAUCAAUCUUUGCACCCAAUGGAUGAAGCUUCAGAUUUUGGGGUUUGUGGUGGGUAACACAUUAAUAGUUUUCUCUGGGCUGUGGGUGAGUAAAGAGGGUUUGUGGAGACACGGACUGUGAAGCUGGAGGUAGGGGAGGGAGUAGGCGUCAACCUCUUAUUCUGGGCUUGUUAUAUACAUUAUAUGUUUGAUAAAAAUGUAUAUAAUUUGUGCCUAUUAAUAUUUAUAAGUUCUCAAACA